This 178-nucleotide ribosomal RNA is filed under the name uncultured bacterium. Its description in RNAcentral is "partial 16S ribosomal RNA". It matches the Rfam family "Bacterial small subunit ribosomal RNA", at positions 355 to 525 of the family's 1533-position model. The record is from RNAcentral.
UAGGGAAUCUUCCGCAAUGGACGAAAGUCUGACGGAGCAACGCCGCGUGAGUGAUGAAGGCCUUCGGGUCGUAAAGCUCUGUUGUUAGGGAAGAACAAGUACCGGAGUAACUGCYGGUACCUUGACGGUACCUUACCAGAAAGCCACGGCUAACUACAUGCCAGCAGCCGCGGUAAUU